GACUGGUUCUAGCCACUGCGCCUCUCAGGCCGAGUUUCCUCCCUGCACCCAGCCCGAGGGAUAUUUGAGGGUUUGUUUUGGUUUUUUUUUUUUUUUUUUUUUGAGACGGAGUUUCGCUUUUGUCGCCCAGGCUGGAGUGCAGUGGCGCGAUCUCAGCUCACUGCAAUCUCUGCCUCCCGGGUUCAAGCGAUUCUCGUGCCUCAGCCUCCCGAGUAGCUGAAUUACAGGCACCCGCCACCACGCCUGGCUAAUUUUUGUAUUUUUCGUAGAGACGGGGUUUCGCCAUGUUACCGAGGCUGGUCUCUAACUCCUGACCUCAAGUGAUACGCCCACCUCAGCCUCCCAAAGUGCUGGGAUUACAGGCGUGAGCCACCACGCGUGGCCUUGUUUUGGUUUCCUUCCUUCCUUCCUUCCUUCCUUCCUUCCUUCCUUCCUUCCUUCCAUCCUCCCUCCCUCCCUCCUUUCUUUUUUUUCUUUCAGGGUCUUGCUCUGUCACCCAGGCUGGACUGCAGUGGCAUGAUCUCGGCUCACUCCAGCCCCAAUCUCCCGGGCUCAAACGAUCCUCCUGCCUCAGCCUCCCUAGUAGCUGGGACCAAAGUCACGCCCCACCACACUCUGCUAAUUUUAUUUUGUUGUUGGUGCUGUGUGUGUGACGGGGGUGGGGUGGGUUAGAUGGGGUCUCACUAUGUUGACCAGGCUGGUCGUGAAUUCCUGGGCUCAAGUGAUCCUCCUGCCUAGGCCUCCCCAGGUGCUGGGAUUACAAAUGUGAGCCACCGUGCCCGGCCAAUAUUUGCAUUUAAUGCAGAGCUUGCUUCUAGCUUGCCAGAGUAGGCACUGUCUUCUUCUGGCACUCCAUGAGCUCUUCCUUCUAAUUCCUUCCGGACACAAGGUCACCAGUAUGUGCAGGGAACUCCACACUCACUGUGACAUGGAGCAAUCGCCUUGCCUCAGAACGGGAGGGAGCCCAGGCUAGGCCAGGGAGGACAGGAAGAGGAGGAAGGGCCUGAUGUUCCGGGAAACGGGCAUUUGGGAUGAGGCGUGCCAAGGCUUCCUCCCAUACCCUCCGGUCCCUGAAAAAACAUCUAUACGUGGAAAAAAAAGUAGAAAUAACUGAGGUGAGAGGAAGGAUGCUCUCUGAUGAAGUGAUGUGGGAUGAGACCCAAAGUAAUGUAUUAGUAUUAAAAGGCAGGUUGGGCUGGGUGCGAUGGAGCACGCCUGUAAUCUAGCACUUUGGGAGGCCGAGGCAGGCGGAUCACCUGAGGUCGGGAGUUCGGAACAUGGAGAAACCCCAUCUCUACUAAAAAUACAAAAUUAGGCCAGGCGCCGUGGC
This 1330-nucleotide long non-coding RNA is filed under the name Homo sapiens (human). RNAcentral's name for it is "non-protein coding lnc-ACP5-3:1". Lineage: Eukaryota; Metazoa; Chordata; Mammalia; Primates; Hominidae. The record is from RNAcentral.